Molecule: transfer RNA, 75 nt
Filed under: Bacilli bacterium
Lineage: Bacteria; Bacillati; Bacillota; Bacilli
Description: tRNA-OTHER
Rfam family: tRNA
About the family: Transfer RNA (tRNA) molecules are approximately 80 nucleotides in length. Their secondary structure includes four short double-helical elements and three loops (D, anti-codon, and T loops). Further hydrogen bonds mediate the characteristic L-shaped molecular structure. tRNAs have two regions of fundamental functional importance: the anti-codon, which is responsible for specific mRNA codon recognition, and the 3' end, to which the tRNAs corresponding amino acid is attached (by aminoacyl-tRNA synthetases). tRNAs cope with the degeneracy of the genetic code in two manners: having more than one tRNA (with a specific anti-codon) for a particular amino acid; and 'wobble' base-pairing, i.e. permitting non-standard base-pairing at the 3rd anti-codon position.
Source: RNAcentral
GGAACGCUAGUUCAAUUGGAUAGAACACUACUACACCAAAGUUAGAGGUUAAGGGUUCGAGUCCCUUGCGCUCUG